This 460-nucleotide ribosomal RNA is filed under the name uncultured bacterium. Its description in RNAcentral is "partial 16S ribosomal RNA". It matches the Rfam family "Bacterial small subunit ribosomal RNA", at positions 338 to 795 of the family's 1533-position model. The record is from RNAcentral.
CCUACGGGAGGCAGCAGUGAGGAAUAUUGGUCAAUGGACGAGAGUCUGAACCAGCCAAGUAGCGUGAAGGAUGACUGCCCUAUGGGUUGUAAACUUCUUUUAUAUGGGAAUAAAACGUUCCACGUGUGGGCUUUUGUAUGUACCAUAUGAAUAAGGAUCGGCUAACUCCGUGCCAGCAGCCGCGGUAAUACGGAGGAUCCGAGCGUUAUCCGGAUUUAUUGGGUUUAAAGGGAGCGUAGGUGGAUUGUUAAGUCAGUUGUGAAAGUUUGCGGCUCAACCGUAAAAUUGCAGUUGAAACUGGCAGUCUUGAGUACAGUAGAGGUGAGCGGAAUUCGUGGUGUAGCGGUGAAAUGCUUAGAUAUCACGAAGAACUCCGAUUGCGAAGGCAGCUCACUGGACUGCAACUGACACUGAGGCUCGAAAGUGUGGGUAUCAAACAGGAUUAGAGACCCGUGUAGUC